UACGGGGGGGGCAAGCGUUGUUCGGAAUUACUGGGCGUAAAGGGCUCGUAGGCGGCCAACUAAGUCGGAUGUGAAAUCCCCAGGCUCAACUUGGGAACUGCAUCCGAUACUGGAUGGCUUGAAUUCGGGAGAGGGAUGCAGAAUUCCAGGUGUAGCGGUGGAAUGCGUAGAGAUCUCCAAGAACACCAGUUGCGAAGGCGGCUGACUGGACCCAUAUUGACGCUGAGGCUCGAAAGCAUGGGGAGCGAACAGG
This 253-nucleotide ribosomal RNA is filed under the name uncultured bacterium. RNAcentral's name for it is "partial 16S ribosomal RNA". It matches the Rfam family "Bacterial small subunit ribosomal RNA", at positions 524 to 776 of the family's 1533-position model. The record is from RNAcentral.